RNAcentral lists this transfer RNA (85 nucleotides) under Felis catus (domestic cat). It matches the Rfam family "tRNA". Rfam says of the family: Transfer RNA (tRNA) molecules are approximately 80 nucleotides in length. Their secondary structure includes four short double-helical elements and three loops (D, anti-codon, and T loops). The record is from Rfam by way of RNAcentral. Lineage: Eukaryota; Metazoa; Chordata; Mammalia; Carnivora; Felidae.
GCUUGGAUGGCUCAGUCGGUUAAGCAUCUGACUUUGGCUCAGGUCAUGAUCUCACGGUUCAUGGGUUCGAGCCCCGUGUCAGGCU